RNAcentral lists this ribosomal RNA (1524 nucleotides) under Triticum aestivum (bread wheat). RNAcentral describes it as "partial small subunit ribosomal RNA". The record is from RNAcentral. Lineage: Eukaryota; Viridiplantae; Streptophyta; Magnoliopsida; Poales; Poaceae.
AUGAAGGCGGCGCUGCGGAGCCGGCAGGAGCCGCGGCGGGUCAGCAACGGCGUCAUCAUCGCCGCCAUGCUCCUCUCCCUCUGCGUCCUCAGCAUCGUCAAGGCCAGAUACUGCUCCACGCCCUUCGGGAAGCCGGACGACCAGCUCAAGGAGCAGAUGAACUCCAGCAUCCGGAUGGAGACCGACGACGAGCCGGCGCCCGCCGCCACCACGGUCGGAGGUUCGGAGGAAGAUGUGGAGGAGGAUGUGGAGGACGACAGCGCCGCCCCGGUGCCCAAGGUCACCGCGGAGAGGGCGGAGAAGACAGCCGUCUCCGUCUCCGGCGCCGGCACAGGAAAAAAGGAUAAGGAUAAGGGGAGGCACAAGAAGAAGAAGCCGACCUGCUUCAUGACGAGCAAGCGCUCGGAGCGGUGCGAGGCGGCGGGGGACAUCCGGGUGGUGGGCAACGUCUCCACCAUCUACAUCGACUCGCUGGACAGGGAGUGGCGGACCAAGCCGUACGCGCGGUACCACGACCCCGUCGCCAUGACCCACGUCCGGGAGUUCGUCCUCAAACCCUUCCCGUCCGACGCGCCGCCGCCGGCCUGCACCAAGAACCACUCCGUCCCCGGGUUUGUGUUUUCCAACCGCGGCUUCUCCGGCAACCUCUACCACGACUACACGGACGUGCUGGUGCCGCUCUUCCUCAGCACGCGCAGGUUCAACGGCGAGGUGCAGUUCCUGCUCAGCGACCUCAAGCCCUGGUGGGUGGCCAAGUUCCGGCCGCUGUUCCGGCAGCUCAGCAGGUACGAGGUGGUGGACGUGAACAACGACCUGGAGGUGCACUGCGUGCCCCGCAUCGUCGUCGGCUCCGACUUCCACAAGGACAUGGGCAUCGUCCCGUCCAAGGCCGCCGGCGGCGUCUCCAUCGUCGACUUCAAGCGCACCCUCCGCGACGCCUUCGGGCUGGAGCGCGCGGCGGCCUCCCGCGGCGGCGCCACGGGCGCCGGCAAGCCGCGCCUCCUCAUCAUCUCCCGCAAGAACUCGCGCCGGUUCCUCAACGAGCGGGAGAUGGCGGCCGCCGCCGCCGCCAUGGGCUUCGACGUGCGCAUCGCGGAGCCCGACCAGCACACCGACAUGUCCACCUUCGCGCGGCUCGUCAACUCGGCGGACGUGAUGGUGGGCGUGCACGGCGCCGGGCUCACCAACAUGGUGUUCCUCCCCGCGGGGGCCGUGCUGAUCCAGGUGGUGCCGUUCGGCGGGCUGGAGUGGCUCACCGGCGUGACCUUCAAGAACCCGGCGGCGGACAUGGAGGUGACGUACAUGGACUACAACGUGCAGCUGGAGGAGAGCUCGCUGCUGGAGCAGUACCCGCGGAACCACCAGGUGCUGACGGACCCCUACGCCGUGCACAAGCAGGGGUGGGACGCGCUCAAGGCGGCCUACCUGGACAAGCAGAACGUGCGGCUGGAUCUGGACAAGUUCAAGGCCACGCUCCGGGACGCGCUCAGCCGGCUGCCGCCGGCGUCGACCCCGGCGGCCUGA